Long non-coding RNA from Aquila chrysaetos chrysaetos, 1614 nucleotides. RefSeq lists it as uncharacterized. NCBI's taxonomy places the organism in Eukaryota, Metazoa, Chordata, Aves, Accipitriformes, Accipitridae. The transcript is spliced from 3 exons. The record is from RefSeq and is a predicted model, not a curated record.
AUUUCACAUUGAGGAAAGCUGUCGCCAGUUAUUUUUGUACAGAUUUUAAAGUUCACCGAACCCAGCUCUGGAAGUUGCAUGUUGUGUUUUUGGCUGGCAAUAUCAACAUACCAUAUGGAGAAGCCUCAGUUUGAGAUUUACAAUAUUGUUUGGAUUUGAUAUUGACGUAUUUUCAUUACUGAACCUGCCUUGAAUUGUAUGUCCUUUUCUUUUGAUGUACGAUGGGUGAAACAAACCCAUAAAAACAAAGGAGCAAAACCUAAAAACAACAAAAGAAACACACAGGGAAAUUCCUGUAUUGUUAAUUAGACUUGAAAUUCAUUGACUUUUGCAUCUUGUCUUUAAUAGCACCUACCAGACACGGUAGAUUCCAGACAAGAGGAAGAGGAAAGAAAUACUAUACUACUGUAGAUAUCACGGAUGCUGUUUCUCCAUCUGUUUGUCCCAUUAUUAUUGGACCGCUCCCCCGUUUUAGGGAUUUGCUGAGCUAGUGGUGUAAAGGGGGGAACAGUCUAAAGAUAGUCCUUACAUUUACUGGUAUAAUAAGAAAUGAAGGGCAACAGCUUCCACCUUCUAUGCUCUGAGAAGGUCCCUAGCAGAAAAUAAUCUGGAACAAAAACUUGGAAUGAAUGAAAGCAUAGAGGUUGAAGGGAGUGAAACAUACAGGGAACAGAAGAACCAGAGCUCCCAGAGACACAGGAGCUGAAACCACUUUCUAGUUUUCCUACUUGUAAAACUUUUCUCUUGUAAUGUUUUAUGCUUCUGCUGAAAUUGUGCCUUAUGUACUUUGAAAAGCUCAGGGCUUUUGCCACUCCAGACCACUGAUCACAGCUGCCAAAAGCAAGACUGUCAGGUAAUUAAAUGCCAUGCGACUAACCUGCUGACCUGAUCACAAUGCUUGGCGUUGGAGCCUGGGGACCCGAUCUAAGGCAAGGAGAACAACCAUGGCCUUUCAGAUCAGCCCAGCUAAUGCCUGAAUGGAGCUGCUGAGGAAGAGCAGGAAAAGUCAGAGGGUGGGUACAAGUCUCCAGUCCUGAGAACCACUGUUGAGAGAGAAGGGCAGCUUACUUUACAGACCCAUCAUGCUGUAAGGACAUCAGCUAAUUACAUGCAUAGUUGUCCACAGGGAAUAUGAGAAUCCCAAGAAGCACCCUCUGAGCUGCAUGGAGGAGCUGCAAGAGUACAGGGGAAGUCUAAGGGAGGCCAGCUUCAUGAGGACAAAACCAGCAUUUGGGGAUAAUAAUUAACCAUCGAUGGAAAGGAAACCACUGCAGCAAAGGAUGAUCCCACUGUACAACUAGUUGAACAAGUUGUCAUGACUUGCCAAAGAGAAUCUGUGGCAGGGCUAAGAUGUUGUCCUUGUGGAUCACCAUCCUUGCACCAGCACUAGCACUCUUCCCCGCCACAUCAAGCCAGGCAGCAUGAGAUCUGGAAGAUGAUUAAAGGAUAAUAAGGUCCUGGCUCUUCAGCUGGGCAUAUUUCCACAUCGUUCCUGGAGUGCAAAGAACCUAGUAGAUUACUUUAGCUAUUAGGCAAUGCUGUAGAAGCAGUGUCCCUGAUCUGGCACUUCAAGAUGCUAUUGCUGCACCCUGAACAGCAAAACAAGCAUCAAAG